Molecule: ribosomal RNA, 468 nt
Filed under: uncultured bacterium
Lineage: Bacteria
Description: SSU rRNA
Rfam family: Bacterial small subunit ribosomal RNA
Source: RNAcentral
AGAAUGAACGUUGGCGGCGUGGAUUAGGCAUGCAAGUCGUACGGGCCGCAAGGCCAGUGGCGCAAGGGUGAGUAAGGCGACGGUAACCAACCCCAUGACUGGGUAUAGCCGCGGGAAACUGCGGGUAAUCCCCAGCGACGUCCCGGGGGGGCAUCCCCUGGGGACCAAAGCUCCGGCGUCGUGGGACGGGCCGUCGUGGUAUUAGGUUGUUGGCGGGGUAAUGGCCCACCAAGCCUGCGAUGCCUACCGGGCGUGCGAGCGUGGCCCGGCACACUGGGACUGAGACACUGCCCAGACUCCUACGGGAGGCUGCAGUCGAGAAUCUUCGGCAAUGGGCGCAAGCCUGACCGAGCGACGCCGCGUGGAGGAUGAAGGCCUUCGGGUUGUAACUCCUGUCGAGGGGAGAAGGGUCGAAAGACCUUGACUUAUCCCUGGAGGAGCACGGGCUAAGUUCGCGCCAGCAGCCGC